This 642-nucleotide ribosomal RNA is filed under the name Cortinarius conopileus. RNAcentral describes it as "eukaryotic LSU rRNA". The stretch from base 258 to 411 matches the Rfam family "5.8S ribosomal RNA". The record is from RNAcentral. Lineage: Eukaryota; Fungi; Basidiomycota; Agaricomycetes; Agaricales; Cortinariaceae.
UACAUUAUUGAAAUAAACCUGAUGAGUUGCUGCUGGCCCUUUAGAAGAGCAUGUGCACACUUAUCAUCUUUAUAUCUCCACCUGUGAACCCUUUGUAGACCUGAAUAUCUUUCUGAAAAUGCCUCUGGCAAUUUUUUUUUUCCGGUUUGAGGAUUGAUUUUUCUUUCCUUACAUUUUCAGGUCUAUGUUUUUCAUAUACUCCAUGUAUGUUCAUAGAAUGUAAUAAGGUGGGCCCUUUGAGCCCUAUAAACUUAUACAACUUUCAGCAACGGAUCUCUUGGCUCUCGCAUCGAUGAAGAACGCAGCGAAAUGCGAUAAGUAAUGUGAAUUGCAGAAUUCAGUGAAUCAUCGAAUCUUUGAACGCAUCUUGCGCUCCUUGGUAUUCCGAGGAGCAUGCCUGUUUGAGUGUCAUUAAUAUAUCAACCUCUCCAGCUUUUGCUUGGUUGAGUGUUGGAUAUGGGGGGUUUUCCUUUGCUGGACUCUUUUGAGGUCAGCUCCCCUAAAAUGCAUUAGUGAAACGAUUUGUUUGACUGCUCAUUGGUGUGAUAACUAUCUACGCUAUUGACAGUGAAGCACAGUUUAGCUUCUAACAGUCCAUUGACUUGGACAAAGAAAUCUUUUAUUAAUGUGACCUCAAAUCAG